GUCGAGAAUCUUCCGCAAUGCGCGAAAGCGUGACGGAGCGACACCGCGUGAUGGAUGAAGUCCUUCGGGGCGUAAACAUCUUUUAUAAAGGAGGAAAUUUUUGACGUUACUUUAUGAAUAAGGGGCUCCCAAUCUCGUGCCAGCAGAAGCGGUAAUACGAGAGCCUCAAGCGUUAUCCGGAAUCAUUGGGCGUAAAGGGUGCGUAGGUGGUUUGAUUAGUCUCCCGUUAAAACUUCGAGCUUAACUCGAAAAGAGCGGGGGAAACGGUCAAACUAGAGUAUGUGAGAGGUGUGUGGAACUCAUGGUGUAGGGGUGAAAUCCGUUGAUAUCAUGGGGAACACCAAAAGCGAAGGCAGCACACUGGCACAUCACUGACACUGAGGCACGAAACCUAAGGUAGCGAAUGGGAUUAGAAACCCUGGUAGUCC
Molecule: ribosomal RNA, 428 nt
Filed under: uncultured bacterium
Lineage: Bacteria
Description: partial 16S ribosomal RNA
Rfam family: Bacterial small subunit ribosomal RNA
Source: RNAcentral